GAUGAACGCUGGCGGCGUGCCUAAUACAUGCAAGUCGAGCGAACAGACGAGGAGCUUGCUCCUCUGAUGUUAGCGGCGGACGGGUGAGUAACACGUGGAUAACCUACCUAUAAGACUUGGAUAACUUCGGGAAACCGGAGCUAAUACCGGAUAACAUGUUGAACCGCAUGGUUCAACAGUGAAAGACGGUCUUGCUGUCACUUAUAGAUGGAUCCGCGCCGCAUUAGCUAGUUGGUAAGGUAACGGCUUACCAAGGCAACGAUGCGUAGCCGACCUGAGAGGGUGAUCGGCCACACUGGAACUGAGACACGGUCCAGAGUCCUACGGGAGGCAGCAGUAGGGAAUCUUCCGCAAUGGGCGAAAGCCUGACGGAGCAACGCCGCGUGAGUGAAGAAGGUCUUCGGAUCGUAAAACUCUGUUAUUAGGGAAGAACAAAUGUGUAAGUAACUAUGCACGUCUUGACGGUACCUAAUCAGAAAGCCACGGCUAACUACGUG
This 497-nucleotide ribosomal RNA is filed under the name uncultured bacterium. RNAcentral describes it as "partial 16S ribosomal RNA". It matches the Rfam family "Bacterial small subunit ribosomal RNA", at positions 28 to 507 of the family's 1533-position model. The record is from RNAcentral.